GUCCUAUCAAUCCCAUAAAAAAAAGAUAACAAGAAUGAUGGCUUACAAUGCAGACAUGUACACCUCAAAUUAGUUUGUUUUAAUAUUGAUAUAGUGUUUAAUUUAGUAUCAAACAGGUUCUUACCCUAUACAUUAAAUCAUUGGAGACCCCCGACAUGGAUGUCACGUGUAAGAAUGCUUAUGCUAUAAGAACCGGUUCUAAAAUCUUAAGGGGUCAGAUUCUGAGACUGGUUUUAAGUUCUAAACACUAAAAGUAUGUGAAGAAUCCACAACGAGUUCUACCAUCGAAGAUGAUCUAAAUACGAUAAAUUAGGAGGCAAUG
RNAcentral lists this long non-coding RNA (322 nucleotides) under Medicago truncatula (barrel medic). Its description in RNAcentral is "lncRNA gene37786". The record is from RNAcentral. Lineage: Eukaryota; Viridiplantae; Streptophyta; Magnoliopsida; Fabales; Fabaceae.